GAUGAACGCUGGCGGCGUGCCUAAUACAUGCAAGUCGAGCGAACGGACGAGAAGCUUGCUUCUCUGAUGUUAGCGGCGGACGGGUGAGUAACACGUGGAUAACCUACCUAUAAGACUGGGAUAACUUCGGGAAACCGGAGCUAAUACCGGAUGAUAUUUUGAACCGCAUGGUUCAAAAGUGAAAGACGGUCUUGCUGUCACUUAUAGAUGGAUCCGCGCUGCAUUAGCUAGUUGGUAAGGUAACGGCUUACCAAGGCAACGAUGCAUAGCCGACCUGAGAGGGUGGUCGGCCACACUGGAACUGAGACACGGUCCAGGCUCCUACGGGAGGCAGCAGUAGGGAAUCUUCCGCAAUGGGCGAAAGCCUGACGGAGCAACGCCGCGUGAGUGAUGAAGGUCUUCGGAUCGUAAAACUCUGUUAUUAGGGAAGAACAUAUGUGUAAGUAACUGUGCACAUCUUGACGGUACCUAAUCAGAAAGCCACGGCUAACUACGUG
Molecule: ribosomal RNA, 497 nt
Filed under: uncultured bacterium
Lineage: Bacteria
Description: partial 16S ribosomal RNA
Rfam family: Bacterial small subunit ribosomal RNA
Source: RNAcentral